GAACGCUGGCGGCGUGCUUAACACAUGCAAGUCGAACGAGAAUCUACGGAUCGAGGAUUCGUCCAAGAGAAGUAGAGGACAGUGGCGGACGGGUGAGUAACGCGUGAGGAACCUGCCUUUCAGAGGGGGACAACAGUUGGAAACGACUGCUAAUACCGCAUGACACAUUGGAGUCGCAUGGCUCUGAUGUCAAAGAUUUAUCGCUGAAAGAUGGCCUCGCGUCUGAUUAGCUAGUUGGUGAGGUAACGGCCCACCAAGGCGACGAUCAGUAGCCGGACUGAGAGGUUGACCGGCCACAUUGGGACUGAGAUACGGCCCAGACUCCUACGGGAGGCAGCAGUGGGGAAUAUUGGGCAAUGGGCACAAGCCUGACCCAGCAACGCCGCGUGAAGGAAGAAGGCUUUCGGGUUGUAAACUUCUUUUGUCAGGGACGAGUAGAAGACGGUACCUGACGAAUAAGCCACGGCUAACUACGUG
Molecule: ribosomal RNA, 477 nt
Filed under: uncultured bacterium
Lineage: Bacteria
Description: bacterial SSU rRNA
Rfam family: Bacterial small subunit ribosomal RNA
Source: RNAcentral